GAUGAACGCUGGCGGCGUGCCUAAUACAUGCAAGUCGAGCGAACGGACGAGAAGCUUGCUUCUCUGAUGUUAGCGGCGGACGGGUGAGUAACACGUGGAUAACCUACCUGUAAGACUGGGAUAACUUCGGGAAACCGGAGCUAAUACCGGAUAAUAUUUUGAACCGCAUGGUUCAAAAGUGAAAGACGGUCUUGCUGUCACUUAUAGAUGGAUCCGCGCUGCAUUAGCUAGUUGGUAAGGUAACGGCUUACCAAGGCAACGAUGCAUAGCCGACCUGAGAGGGUGAUCGGCCACACUGGAACUGAGACACGGUCCAGACUCCUACGGGAGGCAGCAGUAGGGAAUCUUCCGCAAUGGGCGAAAGCCUGACGGAGCAACGCCGCGUGAGUGAUGAAGGUCUUCGGAUCGUAAAACUCUGUUAUUAGGGAAGAACAUAUGUGUAAGUAACUGUGCACAUCUUGACGGUACCUAAUCAGAAAGCCACGGCUAACUACGUGCCAGCAGCCGCGGUAAUACGUAGGUGGCAAGCGUUAUCCGGAAUUAUUGGGCGUAAAGCGCGCGUAGGCGGUUUUUUAAGUCUGAUGUGAAAGCCCACGGCUCAACCGUGGAGGGUCAUUGGAAACUGGAAAACUUGAGUGCAGAAGAGGAAAGUGGAAUUCCAUGUGUAGCGGUGAAAUGCGCAGAGAUAUGGAGGAACACCAGUGGCGAAGGCGACUUUCUGGUCUGUAACUGACGCUGAUGUGCGAAAGCGUGGGGAUCAAACAGGAUUAGAUACCCUGGUAGUCCACGCCGUAAACGAUGAGUGCUAAGUGUUAGGGGGUUUCCGCCCCCUAGUGCUGCAGCUAACGCAUUAAGCACUCCGCCUGGGGAGUACGACCGCAAGGUUGAAACUCAAAGGAAUUGACGGGGACCCGCACAAGCGGUGGAGCAUGUGGUUUAAUUCGAAGCAACGCGAAGAACCUUACCAAAUCUUGACAUCCUUUGACAACUCUAGAGAUAGAGCCUUCCCCUUCGGGGGACAAAGUGACAGGUGGUGCAUGGUUGUCGUCAGCUCGUGUCGUGAGAUGUUGGGUUAAGUCCCGCAACGAGCGCAACCCUUAAGCUUAGUUGCCAUCAUUAAGUUGGGCACUCUAAGUUGACUGCCGGUGACAAACCGGAGGAAGGUGGGGAUGACGUCAAAUCAUCAUGCCCCUUAUGAUUUGGGCUACACACGUGCUACAAUGGACAAUACAAAGGGCAGCGAAACCGCGAGGUCAAGCAAAUCCCAUAAAGUUGUUCUCAGUUCGGAUUGUAGUCUGCAACUCGACUACAUGAAGCUGGAAUCGCUAGUAAUCGUAGAUCAGCAUGCUACGGUGAAUACGUUCCCGGGUCU
Molecule: ribosomal RNA, 1372 nt
Filed under: uncultured bacterium
Lineage: Bacteria
Description: bacterial SSU rRNA
Rfam family: Bacterial small subunit ribosomal RNA
Source: RNAcentral